AACGAACGCUGGCGGCAUGCCUAACACAUGCAAGUCGAACGAUGGUCUUCGGAUCAUAGUGGCGCACGGGUGCGUAACGCGUGGGAAUCUGCCCUUGGGUUCGGAAUAACAGUUGGAAACGACUGCUAAUACCGGAUGAUGUCGAUAAGACCAAAGAUUUAUCGCCCGAGGAUGAGCCCGCGUCGGAUUAGCUAGUUGGUGGGGUAAAGGCCUACCAAGGCGACGAUCCGUAGCUGGUCUGAGAGGAUGAUCAGCCACACUGGGACUGAGACACGGCCCAGACUCCUACGGGAGGCAGCAGUGGGGAAUAUUGGGCAAUGGGCGCAAGCCUGAUCCAGCAAUGCCGCGUGAGUGAUGAAGGCCUUAGGGUUGUAAAGCUCUUUUACCCGGGAAGAUAAUGACUGUACCGGGAGAAUAAGCCCCGGCUAACUCCGUG
RNAcentral lists this ribosomal RNA (436 nucleotides) under uncultured bacterium. RNAcentral describes it as "partial 16S ribosomal RNA". It matches the Rfam family "Bacterial small subunit ribosomal RNA", at positions 29 to 507 of the family's 1533-position model. The record is from RNAcentral.